AGAACGAACGCUGGCGGCAGGCUUAACACAUGCAAGUCGAACGGGUGUAGCAAUACACCAGUGGCAGACGGGUGAGUAACACGUGGGAACCUUCCUCGUAGUACGGAACAACUCAGGGAAACUUGUGCUAAAUACCGUAUACGUCCGAGAGGAGAAAGAUUUAUCGCUAUGAGACGGGCCCGCGUCGGAUUAGGUAGUUGGUGGGGUAACGGCCUACCAAGCCUACGAUCCGUAGCUGAUCUGAGAGGAUGAUCAGCCACACUGGGACUGAGACACGGCCCAGACUCCUACGGGAGGCAGCAGUGGGGAAUCUUGGACAAUGGGCGCAAGCCUGAUCCAGCCAUGCCGCGUGAGUGAAGAAGGCCUUAGGGUUGUAAAGCUCUUUUGGCAGGGACGAUAAUGACGGUACCUGCAGAAUAAGCCCGGCAAACUUCGUGCCAGCAGCCGC
This 448-nucleotide ribosomal RNA is filed under the name uncultured bacterium. Its description in RNAcentral is "SSU rRNA". It matches the Rfam family "Bacterial small subunit ribosomal RNA", at positions 26 to 518 of the family's 1533-position model. The record is from RNAcentral.